GUAUUAGUUUGUGUAUUUUUAGUACAGUGUGUGUGUGAGUGUGUUGGUGGUGGGACAGUACAAGUACAUAUCCCACCAACAUCAUUAACAAUCCGCAAUACAGAAUAAAUCAUUGUUGAUGAUCCUUCCGCAGGUUCACCUACGGAAA
This 148-nucleotide unclassified non-coding RNA is filed under the name uncultured fungus. RNAcentral describes it as "sequence contains ITS1". Lineage: Eukaryota; Fungi. The record is from RNAcentral.